RNAcentral lists this ribosomal RNA (782 nucleotides) under uncultured bacterium. RNAcentral describes it as "bacterial SSU rRNA". It matches the Rfam family "Bacterial small subunit ribosomal RNA", at positions 8 to 796 of the family's 1533-position model. The record is from RNAcentral.
AGAGUUUGAUCAUGGCUCAGAAUCAACGCUGGCGGCGUGCCUAACACAUGCAAGUCGAGCGAGAAAAGGGGAGCAAUCCUCUGAGUAAAGCGGCGCACGGGUGAGUAACACGUGGGUAAUCUACCCUGAAGUGGGGAAUAACACCGGGAAACCGGUGCUAAUACCGCAUAUGAUCACGGUGUCUGCGGACACAGGGAUGAAAGGAGCAAUUCGCUUCAGGAGGAGCCCGCGGCUGAUUAGCUAGUUGGUGAGGUAAUGGCUCACCAAGGCUACGAUCAGUAUCCGGUCUGAGAGGACGGUCGGACACACUGGAACUGAGACACGGUCCAGACUCCUACGGGAGGCAGCAGUGGGGAAUUUUUCGCAAUGGGGGCAACCCUGACGAAGCAACGCCGCGUGGAUGAUGAAGUAUCUCGGUACGUAAAAUCCUUUCGACAGGGAAGAAACCGCAAGGUUGACGGUACCUGUAGAAGAAGCCCCGGCUAACUCCGUGCCAGCAGCCGCGGUAAUACGGGGGGGGCGAGCGUUGUUCGGAAUUACUGGGCGUAAAGGGCGCGUAGGCGGUCUGCUAAGUUGGAUGUGAAAACUCUGGGCUUAACCCAGAGCCUGCAUUCAAUACUGACAGGCUAGAGUUCUGGAGGGGAUAGCGGAAUUCCUGGUGUAGCGGUGAAAUGCGUAGAUAUCAGGAGGAACACCGGUGGCGAAGGCGGCUAUCUGGACAGAAACUGACGCUGAGGCGCGAAAGCUAGGGGAGCAAACAGGAUUAGAUACCCUAGUAGUCC